GGGCAGGAGGGCGGGUGGGUGCGGGAACACAGACCCGAUGCGCGAGCGGGAGCUGGCGCAGGGGAUCCGAACUGGCGAGUUCAAGUCACCUGGGAUGGCAAGUGCUGCCAGGAGCGCGCCGGUGCGAGUCGCCGCAGCCUGCAGCCAGCUGCUGUUGCCGCCGCCGCUCGAGAACAGAAGUGUCAGCAGAGGACUGUAAGUGCUAUGUGAUUGGACGACGGUGGCCAUAGAAUUUCACCUGCCCAGCACGUAUUCUCUCAUCCUCUCCUCCUCUGCCUUCUUUGGGAGGGAGAAAUCAGAAGGAGUGGGGAUGCAGUUCAGAGAGCAGAGGAGAAGAGAAGAAAAGAAGGAAGAAGGAAGAGGACUAGGGUUGGGUGGGGGGGGAGGACACCAAUGGGAAGAGGGACAGAUCAACUCUAUACACAAAAGUAAAUCAAAACACCAAAAACAGGGGUCUAUGUAAAGAAGCCUCUUCCCGUGAAUUGCUCGUUGCAUAGCUGCAGGGAGGGUGUUUAGGGGCAUAGAGAAUGAAAACAUACCUGUAUUUUGGUGUAGGGAAAUUGUUUCUGUCAAUUCACACCGUCCACACACCACCUCCCACCCCAACCCCGCCACUACCAAAUUCCUCUAAAUAAAAAUAAUUAUGAGAUACAGGCCAACAAAAACGUCAGCGUUAGGCUGUUAUUUAGAGAGAAUUGGAAAGCGUUUGAAUGUGGCCCUGUUGUUUAAUAAACGAUAACAAUGAUUACUAAGUUGUCCUGAG
This 763-nucleotide long non-coding RNA is filed under the name Homo sapiens (human). RNAcentral's name for it is "HSALNT0407856". Lineage: Eukaryota; Metazoa; Chordata; Mammalia; Primates; Hominidae. The record is from RNAcentral.